GUCCUGGAGUCAUUAGGGCAGGUGACCAAAGGCUAGGAGUGUGAGAGCUGAUAAAGGAGAUGCUUGGGGUGCGGAUUCAUUGGUUUGUAUUUGAGAAGCACCCUCAUGGAUAAGUUGUUUAUUUUCUCUACAGACUGGCUAAUCCUGGGAGGGGCAGUCCCUCUGGUCCUGCAAGGCCUCAGAGGUCAAAGCAUCAGAAGACAGAAAAUGAAAGACAUGGUCCAUGCACGAGGACAGCAUGGCCUGAUAGAGAGCACCCGGCCAAGGAUACAUCUUGAAGCGGUUCCUGUUCUCCAUUUCCAUUGCUCCCUCCUGGUCCAGGUCACCAGCCUGCCUCACCUGGGCUGCAGCAACACGUUCCCACCUGGUUCCUCUGCUUCCACCUUUCCCCUUCCAUUAUCAACCUCUACUCAGCAGCCAGAGGGAUUCUGAAGGCCACCUGAUAAGCUCUCUGGAGUUCAGUUUCCGAAGUGCAAAAGGAUGGACUGGACCAGAUAACUUCUAAGACCACUUUCAACCCUGACACCUUUUCCCUUUUUUAAAAGAAACACUUUUUUUUUGAGAUAUGUCACAUACUAUAAAAUUUAUCCAAAGUGUACAGUGUUUUAUAGUAUAU
Bos taurus (domestic cattle) is the source of this 616-nucleotide long non-coding RNA. Lineage: Eukaryota; Metazoa; Chordata; Mammalia; Artiodactyla; Bovidae. The record is from Ensembl.